This 16-nucleotide ribosomal RNA is filed under the name Phytophthora inundata. RNAcentral describes it as "partial 28S ribosomal RNA". The record is from RNAcentral. Lineage: Eukaryota; Oomycota; Peronosporomycetes; Peronosporales; Peronosporaceae.
CGCGCAUCUCAAUUGG